This is an RNA transcript of Andrographis paniculata, 2462 nucleotides long. It is a transcript of the gene named autophagy-related protein 16, with no coding region annotated. NCBI's taxonomy places the organism in Eukaryota, Viridiplantae, Streptophyta, Magnoliopsida, Lamiales, Acanthaceae. The record is from RefSeq and is a predicted model, not a curated record. The transcript has 8 exons.
UUCUUCUUCUUCAUAAGCUACCUGUUUUUUCUUUUCUCUUGUUUUCCUCCGAUUUUGCUGUCUUCUUCUUCGGCAUCUACCACGAUCAGGAUCUUCGUUGUCGUCGUCUUCUUCUUCCGCUUCGUCGCUGGCUUUGAUGCAGCUAUGGAAGAAGCAAUAAAGCAUGCUCUGAAAGCACUAAAAAGACGGUCUCUACUGGAAGAGGGUGCUCAUUCGCCUGCUUUGCAAGCUCUCUCUCGCCCGAUCUUGUCUCAGGGCUCGGAAUGGAGAGAAAAGGCUGAAAACCUUGAAAAGGAACUCCAGCAAUGUUACAAAGCUCAAUCCCGGCUAUCAGAACAGCUUGUUGUUGAAGUGGCCGAAUCCCGAGCUUCCAAAGCUUUAAUACAGGAAAAAGAAUCCAGGAUAUCUGAGUUGCAAAAGGAUCUUAGUGAAGCAAGGGAUGAAUGCUCCUCCUUAGCUGUGCAGCUGGAAGAAAAGACAAAGGCUCUAGAAUUGCUGGUAAGGGAGCAUCAAGAUCUGAAACGACAACUUGAGGCAACUACAGUUAGAGCAAACAAUGCAGAGGCAGAGAACAAGAUGCUAAUUGACCGUUGGAUGUUAGAGAAAAUGAAAGAUGCUGAACGACUGAAUGAGGCAAACGCUCUUUAUGAAGAAUUACUUGACCGUGUCAAGGGAAGCAGUAUCCAACUACUUGCGCGUCAACAAAUUGACGGCAUCGUUCGCCAAAGUGAAGAAGGCGCAGAGUAUUAUGCUGAGUCAACUGUUCCGACUAUGUGCAAGCAAAGGAUUCCUGCCCAUGAGGGUGGUUGCUCUUCAAUACUGUUUGAAUACAAUUCUGGUAAACUGGUCAGCGGCGGACAAGACAAAGCCAUCAAAAUGUGGGAUACAAACACCGGGUCUUUAACCCGCACGCUUAAUGGCUGUUUGGGCUCUGUUCUCGACAUUUGUAUCACCCAUGAUAACAAAACCGUGAUUGCAGCGAGCAGCGGGAAUACAUUGUACGUCUGGGAUGUAAGUUCAGGGCGUGUAAGGCACACACUCACCGGCCACACGGACAAAGUCUGCGCUGUGGAUGUCAGCAAGGUGUCGAAUCGCCAUGUCAUCAGCGCUGCCUACGAUCGGACGAUAAAAGUGUGGGAUCUUCAGAGAGGCUACUGUGUCAACACUCUUCUCUGUCACAGCAAUUGCAAUGCCAUCUGCUUCAGUAUGGACGGGCAGACGAUAUGUUCGGGCCACGUGGACGGGAAUCUCCGGCUGUGGGAUAUUCAGACGGGGAAACUCCUGAGCGAAGUCGCCGCGCAUUCUUUUGCCGUGACUUCUCUCUCGCUUUCGACAAGCGGGAACAAGAUUUUGUCGAGCGGGAGGGACAACCUGCACAACUUGUUCGACAUCCGUACUCUUGAAAUCUGCGCAACCCUACGGGGGAAUGGCGGCAGAGUGGCGUCGAAUUGGAGCAGGUCUUGUGUAAGCCCUGAUGACAGCUAUGUGGCUGCUGGAUCGGUGGACGGGUCGGUACACGUCUGGUCGGUGGCGAACGGGAAAAUUGUGAAGACGCUGAACGAGCACACGGCCCCGAUCUUAUGCUGUUCUUGGAGUAAUCUUGGCAAGCCUUUGGCUACAUCAGACAAGAAUGGCAACAUUUGCUUGUGGUCUUGAAAAUGGAGUUGUGAAUUCUCAAGAAGAAGAAGAAGAAAGGUAACGAAAUUGGUGACUGAAAAAUCGAAGCAACCAUCCGCACACCCAUUAUUUGUUGAUCUCAAUACUUAAUCUCCAGUUGCCGAUCUCGAAGACGCAUCUGUCCCUUCCGAAAUUGUCGUUGCCAUCACGCCGGCUACGGAACGUCUUCAACAACAAGCGACGGAUGUUAGGGUUUUAAAAUAUUAGUAUCUGUUGUAAAUUUAUACGCAUUCAGAGGUAGAUAGAGGUCGACAUUGUUCUAUUCGAGCUGUUCGAGAAGAAAGCCCACCGUUCCGUCAUUGGUGAAGGAAGAUGUUGUGGGUCUGUUGUUCAUCGUUGAAGAACAGUUGUUGCUCGAAGCCGCCAUCACUAUCCGUCAUUGGAUAAAUCGAUCUCGAAGUUUUCAAUUGAUGAAUUUCGUGGAAUAUCGAACAAGUUUUGUAAUUUGGUCUUGUCCUGUGCGUGAAUCCUUCAAAGAAGAAAGGAGCGAGAUAGUUCGGUUGUAAAAUAUUAUGCCGUGGAACUAUGAAUUGGUACAUACCUUUUUUUUUUUUUUUUUUUUUUUUUUUUCCUUUGGUUGAUUCAACAUAAAUUAUUGCGUUGUGCAUCGACAAGAAAUGUGUUUGGUGUAUUUAUACAUCCUAUCAUAUUCUCGAUUGUAAUUUGCCAUACGUACUUGCAAUUUGCAACACCUAUAAUUUGAGAUUCGAACAUAACCGACGUAGUUGCAAUGACCGGGUAUUAUAGAUCUUCUAAAGUUGUAGUUUUUAAUUUUGAAAAGAUGU